AAAGUGCGAUAUGUAAUGCGAUUUGCAUGAAUCUGUGAGUCAUUUAAUUUUUGAACGCAACUUGCGCCUCUUUGGAGGCAUGUCUGUUUGAGGGCCGCAAAAAAAGAUGCAGCAAUGCGAAAUGACUUUUGGCGAGGUCACCACGUGUAUCAAAAUUUUUGAUGCAAGAGGACGACACGCAAAGUUUAAAUAUAGCAAGUUAAUGGUCAUGUAUAUAGACUAGCCCGAGUGCUAAGCAUUCUUGGUUCUAGGAAUAUAAUGAUUAUUGAGAGGGAAAAGAAAAAAAGUGAAAAACGAUUUGAAUUCCUAAUCUAUUUUCGAAUGGCCUCAAAUCAGUCAAGAUUACCCGCUGAACUUAA
This 359-nucleotide unclassified non-coding RNA is filed under the name uncultured Rozellomycota. RNAcentral describes it as "uncultured Cryptomycota sequence contains ITS1". The stretch from base 1 to 97 matches the Rfam family "5.8S ribosomal RNA", at positions 50 to 154 of the family's 154-position model. The record is from RNAcentral. Lineage: Eukaryota; Fungi; Rozellomycota.